RNAcentral lists this unclassified non-coding RNA (361 nucleotides) under rhizosphere metagenome. RNAcentral describes it as "partial ribosomal RNA internal transcribed spacer region". The record is from RNAcentral.
GUAGGUGAACCUGCGGAAGGAUCAUUAACACGUUACACACGUAUAUAUAAUAUACACCAACCGUGAACCCUGCAAAUUGAAGAACAUGGCUAGCCCUAUUAGGGCUGCAAAAACUCUUAGAAGUCUGCUGCCGCCUCGUAUAUGUCCCUCCCUUCCUCCUGUUGGGAGCUUUGGAACUACUUGGUGGUUGUCUGAGGGGGUUAGCCAUGCGUGUUGUCGUUAUUAUUAACGACUUGUAUUCAACAACUCUGAAUUUAUUUUCGAAACUUUAAAAGGAAAAGACCCCUUUUUAAUUAGGGGGGUGGAUUUCUUUUAAUAACAAAACUCAGAACAACUCUUAGCAACGGAUAUCUUGGUUCCC